RNAcentral lists this long non-coding RNA (38297 nucleotides) under Ananas comosus (pineapple). RNAcentral describes it as "long non-coding RNA (ACOM_LNC010697)". Lineage: Eukaryota; Viridiplantae; Streptophyta; Magnoliopsida; Poales; Bromeliaceae. The record is from RNAcentral.
UGUUUUUAAAGAGAAGGGUAGGACGAAAGAAAAGGUUGAAUGACAUCGCUUCAUUUAUUAGAAAUAUAAACUAAAUUAUAUUAAUAAAAUACUUAGGUUUCAAAUGAAAAAAAAGAAAAAAAAAAAGUGAGGGGUUACUAUAUGGUUGUUUCAUACAAAAGUAAGAGAUCGUUUAGGCCCUGUUUGGAUGAGCAGUAAAUAAAUUUCAUAGAGUUUAAAUACCGUAGUUUUGGUCCAAAUAAAAUGAAGUAUUCUGUAACUCCAAAAAAAUUCCACGAGUUUAUUUUAAAAGCUGUUUGGAUACACAUUAUACAAUUCUACAGAAUUUCUGAUAAUCUUAAAAAAUUAGUCUUGAGAGUUUAAACUUAAAUUAUUAACUAUUAAAAUGACUUUAAGAUCUAAAAAUUUAAAAUAAAAGUUUAAAAUUAAAAUUAAAAUUAUUAACUAUUAAAUAAUUUUAAAAUUUAAAAUUUAAAAAUUAAAAUUUGAAAAAUUAGCCGUUGGAAAGGCUACAAAAGGAAAAAUUAGCCGUUGGAAAGGCUACAAAAGGAAUAAAUUUGAAAAUUUUGAAAAAUUAGUUUGAGAAGGCUAUUCUAACCACGACAAACCGUGUGUGACAAUAUUUGAAUACAUACAAAUAUGAACAAAAUAAUUACAAAAGGAAUAAAUUGAACACAAACUGAAGCUUCUACGGGCCUAAACAAAUUGACCAUCUAGCUUACAUUGAACACAAAUUGAAGACAAAAAUAAACCCAAAUCUGGACUUUAUUCUAACAUAGCCUGACCAAAAAUUAACCCAAUAAUCGCUUAUAAAUGCAAAAAAAUAAACUUCAAGCACACAUUUUAGCAUCCUAAGAAUGUGUCCAUUGUUUUUUGACCAGCUGAUAAAUGAUCAAGCAUAAAGAAUAAAGACAUUUGGCUUGAUGCUGUUUUUUGAACUCCUAGAGUUUCAUGUGUUAACAAGGACUGACCUGAGCACUUGGUAAUGGUUCGACCAAUUAGAUCAGCCGGCCGGUUCAAACCAAAUUUAAAACAUACAACAAGUUCAUCAAAGGAACUCACCUAACAAGAUUUUCACAGAUUCCCCUUCCAUCCAAUUUGGGAUAUCUACAACAAUAUAACUAAAACUGGCGAAUAAAUCUUUGCGCCUCUCUAGUCACAGGCAUGCUUGACAUUUCAUCAUCAGAUUUUUUAGCCAUGGCCAACAGAAACCAGUAUAAACUAGACGUAGUCAUAACAUAAUUAACUAUGCAUUAUUGCUCUGCCUCCUGAGAAAACAGCAGAAUGACCAUCCUACAUAUAAGUAUAAAACCUCGUUUUCUCUGAGUAUCGCCGUUAUUCAUCAAGUUGCAGGGUAGUCGGAACUAUCAAAAAGGAUAAACAAUUAGCACUUCAUCUAAGUCCUAAUGGCCUGCUUUAAUCAUCAACCAACUCAUUUGGAGUCACAAAAGAAAUUAUUGCAAACUCAAAUUAACAGCUGGCAUACUAUGGCUAAAUCCUGCCACCAUGAAAGGCAGAAGAUAGAGUUCAUGUGUUACAGAUAUCAAUUCUUACAUAAAGACCUAAUGAAGAUUAAUGAAUCAAUCAAAAUCUAACCUAUUGAAAAAAAAAAAAAAAAUCAGAUCAUUUCUUUGUUACCUGUUGGAGGAGCGAAAUGGGGCUGCCCUUCUCCGGCCAUUGCAAGGCGAGGGGCGAGAAGGGCGAGACAAGAUCGAGGCAAGAAAAUGGUGGCCGAGGUUAGUGCGGCGGCGACGGCAGCCGAGGUGAUAGUGACUUCGGCAGUAGCAGCGCACGAGAUGGCAGUGGAGAGCGGCGGCGGCAGCCCGAGAGAUGGCAACGGCGGUGGCCGAGAUCCACGGCGGCGGCGUCGGCGGCGGCUGAGGUGAGAGAGACGCGGUUCAGGUGAGAGAGAGAGGAUGGGAGGAAACGUGGAGAGGGUAAUGGGAGGGAGAGAGAAGCGCCAGAGAAAGUUGGGCGAGUGGGGAGGCGGCCCAAAAAAAUUAGCGUAAUUUUUUUUCCAGAGAAAAUUUUAGAGGUUACUUUUACUCUGUUUUUUAGGGUGUAGUUUAACUAUACCCUAUUUUGUUGGGGUAUUUUUGAAGCAUCCAAAUACCUCUUAGGAUUUUUUUCCUACACCCACAGCAUAGUUAUACUUUACUCCAAAAAAAUAACCAUCCAAACAGGGCCAUAGUUAGAUGUAAUUAUAAAUGCAGUGUAGUUGAAGAUGUAUAUAGUUAAAAAUGCAGUAAUUACAACUACAUGCGUCAUGUUUUGUUGGAUAUAGUAGAAAGCGUUGUAAUUAUAAAUAAUUUAUUUGGUUGCAUGUAGUUGAGAAAUAAUUUUUAAAUUGGUUUUUUUUAAUUACCGAAAAAGCUACUUUUUAUUAUUUUACAUAUAUAAUGGUAAGAUUACCUACAAUGUAAAAAACAAAAAUAUUUUUUGUUUAAAAAAUAAUUAGGGAUGUAAUUUUAUCUUUUACUUAAACUUACUCCCUCCAACUGUCGCAGUUGGAAUUGCAAUCAAUUUAAACGUAGUUCCAACUGCUACAAUUGGGCCUUCUCCUGCCUACUGCAGCAAUUGGAGUUAAAUAUAUUAAACUAAACACUAAAUUUGUAUUUGCAUGUAUUACAACAAAAAUAGUGUAUGGCAACACUUUUAAAUGUUGGUAUAGAUAAAAAAAAUGCUAUUGGCUAAAUUACCGACACUUUUUUAAAGUGUUGCUAUAUGUGGGGUCACUAUAUAUAGGGCUGUCUUGAUGUUUGGCACCCACUCCUCCAGCGACCUGUGGUGGAGAGACACGUGGCGAUCGUAGCCCUGUACAAUCGCUGCAAGAUUCUCGCGGUUGAACUCCAGCCAUCGAAACCCAACUUCGUUGGUUACAGUCGUGAAGGAGGAGAAGGGGAGAUGGUGACCAAUUUUUCUUUUUUCAUUCUUUUUCUAUUUGUAAUUGGAUCGAGUGGGCUGGAUGAGGUUGGAUAAGUAGAGGAACUUUUUAUUUUUAAUUAGAUUGGGCUUUAUAUUUAAACCUUAGUAAUUUUUUUUUUUAAAAAAAAUGGCAUAAAUAGAACACUUAUACAAAAGUAUCCCAAAAAUAUAUCUCUAUAAUCUAAUUUUGUUGUAGUAAUGAAAUUAUAACUACAAUGUAGUUGCAACUAUAUACAACUAAACGGUCACUAAAAGUAAGUGAGGUCGCUUUCAUCAGCAAAUAUUCAUUUGUUGUUUGAUUUAUUAUAAUUCUUUUUUCUUGACCGGAAUUUAAAUUUUUUAAAACAGCAUAAUUGUCUUCGGUUUAGUCCAAAUUAAAAUCAAUUAUUAAUAAAAAAUAGUAAUAAUAAAUUAACUUAUUUUUUAAUAUUUUAAAAUUUUGCAUUAUUCAUUUUCUAUCCAACAAACAGUUAUACAAACAAGCUCCAAUUUUGUAGUUAUACAAACAGACAACAAAACAUGAGUAAUUGUUACGUAAAUUCUAAUUUAUCAGAAAAAUUAUUUUAAUUUACACUUUAAAUUUGGUAAAAAUUACAAUACUAGUCAUAAAAAACAAACAGGGUCAUAGGAAACUAUUUUGUAUGUAUUUUGGUCUAAAUUCUGGAAAGUGAUUUUGUGGCAAAAGUAAUUUUAUUUUCAAAUUUGAUUACAGUUUUUAAAAAUUUUUAAUUUUAAAGGUCCAAAAUCAGAAGCAGUCAAAUUUGCUUCUUGAAAUCUAAUUUUGAUUUUGGACUGAAAUUUUAAAUUUUAAUUUUAAUUUUGGAUUCAAAUAUUAAAUACAAAUUCAAAUUUUAAUAUAAAAUUUAAAAUUUAAAAUUCAAAUAUCAAAUUUUAAAUUUUAAAUUUUAAAUUUUGAAAUUUUAAGUUUUAUAUUUUCAGCUUCAAAUUUCAACUUCAAAUUUCAAAUUUUAAUUUUAAAUUUCAAAGUUCAAAAUUUAAAUUUUAAGUUUCAACAUUCAAAUUUAGAUUUCAAAUUCAAAUAUAAAAAUUUAAAUUCUAGUUCAAAAUUCAAAUUUAAAAUUUUAAUUUUUUAAUUAAAAUUUAAAAAUUGAAUUAUUUGAAAAUAAAUUUUAGUAAAAAAAAUUAUUAUUUGCAGGCAGCAAAAUAAUUUACUAAACAGUCAGACAAAAUUACUUUAAAAAAAUUACUUUUAUUUAAAAUCAGCCAAACAAUCUAAAAUUUUUAGCCCAAAUUAAAAUUUAAAAUUAAAAUUAAUUAUGCAAAAAUUAUAUUUUUAACGGAUAGGCCGAAUAGACUCUCUACUCUCUAGUGGUACGAGAAAAGAAAGGACGAGCGAGUGACGGAAACUCCGCGCCCCCACCCUCCCGACAGCGAUCCCUGUCACAUAAAGCCGCGUUUCUGCAUUUCCUUCGGUUGGGUAAAUUGCAGCUGGUCCUUAAUUCCUCAAAUAUUUUUACAAUCAUUCCUACCUUUUCAGCAGCUUAGUUAGUUAAUUCACGAAUAAUAUGCAAAUUAUCCGCAAACAACAGUCACAAUGUAUAAAAUGCUUCGUUUAUGAAUUUUGUUUUCAAAAAAUCAGAACAAAAUGCAUUUUUUUCCUUGCUCCGAGUCUUUGCGAUCAAAAGGGUUUUCGCUGCAUUAUAUUCCGAAAAAUUCGAAUUUAGUGGCGAAAUAUAUUUUGAAAAAUUCGGAUUGACCAACGGUGGAAAGAUAAAAUUUGUCAAUAAAAUUUGGAUUGGGCGCCUGUGGAAAUAUGAAAUUUCUUGAAAUGGCGUCGCGCGACCACGGCUCCACAGAUCCCUACACCUUCUUGUGAGCAGUCGAGCAAGCUUACCCAUUCAAUUUUGAAGAAAACAUAGAGAUGGAGCUGCGGGAAAGAAGAAAGGAGGAGGAGCGAUGAGGAAGAAAAUCACGGCGCACCGAGAGUUGGGAAAUAGCGCGGUCCACGAGGCUGCACUUAGCCUCGUAGACUAUGUGGAGUGAUAGGUCCACGUGGACCUCUCACUCUCUCUCUGUUUAUAUAUACUAGUGUAGAAACCCACGCGUUGCGGUGGGUAGAGAGCAUUGCAAAUAGUCAAGAUAUUUUCAUACCUAAAAUUAAGGUAGCUGAAGAGAAGUAGGAGAAAAUAGAAAUAGCAACAAAACAAUCUUCUAAAAUUUCAAAGGAAAAUAACAUAUUGUACAUCAAGAAACUGUGAGACCCCAGAUAGUUCUAUAUAUGAGAUAUAAUAGGGCUAAACUCUUAACCCGGCUUAAGCAUUUUGGGUGGUGGCAAGGCCCAAGAGGUUAAGAGAGUUAAGCGUGCUAGGACGGGAGUAGUCCUAGGAUGGGUUACCCCUGGGAAGUCGGGGCGUCACAGAAACAAAAUUACCUUUAGCACAUUAGGAAAGAGAACUGCAAAAGUAGUGAAAAUAGCAUCUCCCAAAAUCCAGAAUAAUACAGGGCAUAAAAAAACAAUGGGGCAUUUUUUUUUUAAAUUUCUAAAAUACUCUACUAAAAGUUGUGUACUCUUUGUCUCCUAUGCCGCAUUUGCUUCCCUUUCACACCUCUUAUACAUAUCCAGUUAGCAAAUAUAAAUGCAAUUUUGUUGUCUUAACAAUUAACAUUUAGCUUCUGUAAUGGUGGCAAUAGUUUCAUAUGGAUUAUCUAUUCACAACUAAGAAUUUAUCAAAGUAGAACUUAUUUCUCAACUAAUAGAGAAUCAUUUCAGAGAGAGUUGAUUCAAAUGUAAAAAAAAAUUGUUGAGCAGAAAAACUAUAGCAACUUACCAUAAUAAGCAUUCAAAUAUAUAUACGAAUCAAGCAGUACUAAUGAACAAAAUAAUUUAAAUUGCAGAUCGAAAAGAAUAAGUUUCUACUUCAUUAAAUAUUUAUACCCAAGUGAAGCAAAUGAUAAAAAUUGUGAAAAAUUUAAUUGAAGCAACAAUAUAUGAAAGUACUCUCUUUAGCAACUCAUUAAGGUUCACGCAGUGAAGAGAUUCACCUAAGUACUCUGAACAUCAUUUAGUGUAAGAUUAUAAAGAGAAUCUUGUCAUGUCAAGCUCUCAAUAUGGGAUGGCCCAUCGCAGCCCCGGCACCUGACACCGGCCUUGCCCACGUCGCUGCAGGCUGCAGCCUUGUAAUGCCGUAAAUUGUUGGGCUUACUAUUGUAAGCUUAUCUAAAUGUUAAAGCUAAAUAAAAUAAAUCUUACUUUCCUUAAAUCAGUAUUAAAAUAACUGUAGAUGCCUUCUUAAAUUCAGAACCUCAAUCUUCAAAUUAAAAGGCAUAACUUAAGAAAAUAGCGGAUCAAACACAAUGAUCAAGGUUGGAAAGACUUCAUCCAUCUUUCCUGCAUAAUAAGGGCUCAAAAUAUUCCUAAAGAAGAAGAAACUAUGAUUCUAGUACCAAAUCAUUUUGCUAGGCUAAAGAAAGAGGAAGCAUUUCAGUAUCAUAUUUUAUAUCCAUCGACAACUUUAUAUCAAAAAAAUAAUCUCAAAAAGAAAAAAAAAGCAAAACCAUUUUUAAAGGAAUAAUAGAAAAGAUAUCAGAGUCCAUCAAUCAAAAUAGUCUUUGUCCCUCCCAUAAAAGAAUUUUAGCAAAUAAGAACCUUUACACCUAAAUUGAAGAGUGCUGCUAUUUCAAUUACGUGAAACAUAGAGAAACUCAAUAUCGAGAUUCAUAUAGAUCCUAUUCAGAGAUGAAUAAUGAAAACCUUAUCUACUUGAUGAGUGUCGUAGCUCCAUCCUAAAAAUAAACGUCGAAUAAGGCCUGUAAUAACUUAUAAGGACCAUCCAUGGCAAUAUGAAUAUUAUUAACUUAUAACCACAUAUAAAAAAGGAUAAAAUUGAUGCGACACAAUUUUUCUUAAUAUCAAAUUUUCUCCAUGUACUCUUGGAAUCCACAUGAUAAAAAUUUACAAUAGUCAAAUUGCUCAUCUUUGGCACCUUUUUUUAACCAUGAUAUUAAGAAACUAAGCUGCAACAAAAAUUAAUCUAAAAUCUGAAAUUUAAAUAUCUGAACAGGAGCUAACAGGAAAAAUUGAAUGCAAUUCGAAAAAUAUGUUGCUUUGAACUUAGAUAGUGAAUGAAUCAAAUGGGAAAAAUGUUGUGAUUUUAAUGGAUCUUUAUUUAGUGUCUCUAUGUUAACAACUUUUCUUAGGCAUUCUCUAGAACACCUUUCAUACAAUCUCAGAUUUUUUUUUUAUAUAAAAUAAAAGAAUAUAAUAAAAAUAAAAUAAAUUUUAAAAAAGAUUAGGAUUUCUUCAGACAACUUCAAAGCCAUCUCAGCCAUCCAUUGACGAUGGUGAAUGACCAAAAAACAAAUGGUAAAUUGCAAAGAGAAAAUUAGAACAAACCCAACACCACCACGAUUGCAAAUGCUAUGUGUAGAUGAUGAGGCUUUCUAGGAUUUCUAGCACUGCACUUUCUGCUCCCUAAAGUUUUGAAAUUUUCCUCCCACUUUCUCUCGCUCUCUCUGCUCGCGUGGGAACCUAUUUGUACCAAAGCAAUAGUUAGGGUUAGGGAUAUAGAUUCAUAGAAGAUGCGGCAAGAAAUUCGCCCAUUCCAAAGGUGAGGUUGGUGAAGAACCCAUCCAUACCAAUACCAAUCUCAAAAAAGAUAGAAAAAGGCAGGGGAGAAGAGGGCGAGCCAGGGAAAUGAGAGAGUGAAAGGAGCGACAAGAGAAGUAGGUAACGGAAAGGAGAGAUAGAUGAUAUGGCGGAGAGGGAAGAGAGAACGACCUACCAUAUGAAACGGAGAGGGAAGAGGGAACGACGCGAAGGAGAGAGCAGAGGAAACGCUCCACUGANUCCGACUGGUAUACUAUUGAUAGCACGAAGCAUUUGGUGCUAUCAAGUUUUCUGCUAUUAGAUUUACCUCUUUUAUCAUUUUCAUCCGUUCGAUUAUACUAUUCAACUAACCACACUCAACCCUAAAGGGCCCAUAUUAUUUUAACCACAUAUUUUUUAAUCAAAUGGCAGAAAAUUUAAUAGCACCAUAUAUAUGUAUGUAUGGAACUAGGCUGGAAUACUAUUAAUAGCACCAAGCUAUUGGUACUAUCAGUUUUUUAGUCAUUGAAUUGAGAAAUGUAUGGUUAGGAUGAUGUGAGCCUCAUAAGAUUGAGUGAGUGGUUGGUUAAAUAGUAUAAUCUAACGAGUAAAAAUAAUCAAAGGGUUAAAUCUAACGGUGAAAAACUUGAUAGCACCAAGCCCUUGGUGCUAUCGAUAAUAUUCCAGCCAGACUCUAUAUGUAUAAAUGUAUAAUUAAUUAACUAAUUAAAAAAUUAAUUAUUAGUGUGUUUAGGCAAUACAAAUAUUUAUAUUAAUUAACCAAUUAAUAUCUUGACCAAUCUAACUAAUUAAAUAAUUAAUUUAUUAAUUUAUUAAUUUAUGAAAUUAUUUAUGAUUAGUUAAUUUAUUAAUUUAUUAAUUUAUUAAUUAACAGUGCUCAUGGUUAAUAAAUUAAUAAUUAAUUAAUAUUCAUGGUUAUCUAACAAUAUGUAUGGUUAAUUAAUUAAUUUAUUCAUUAGAUUAUUAUUUAAUUAAUAUUUUAAUGUUGAUUAAUUAGGCAAAAUAUUAUUAUUUUAAAAUUAUAAUUACUCUUAUUCUUGCUAUUCCUAUCUAAUUACUAUUUUUUUUAUUUUUUAAAAAUAGCCAAAUUUUCAUCCAAACACAAUAUUAGUCUAAUUCCUUCUUAUUUUAAGAAUUAGAUCUGCAUUAGAAAUAACCAAGAACCGAGUAUUUCUAAAGAUUUGAGGACCAAAAUGAAACUAAGCUGAAAGCUUAGGGAUCAGUGGAGCAAUUUACCCAAAUUCUUUUAUGCAAAGAUUAUUAUUAUUAUUUUUUAAGAAUUGUCUGAAAAGUCAAGAGCUAUAUUAAAAAAAAAAAAAACAUCUUUUGGAUUCCCUCCUAUCCCGUUCCGUUGGAGCUCUCGUAACCCCGUUACACCCUCCCCCGUUACGUUGUGCUACACCGAAAUGUUACGUAAGCCCGGUGUUUACCGGUAGCAACCGGUUAAGCUAUAAUACGACCGCUUGGGAACACCGUCGAUCCCGCGAACCCCGCACGGAUCGCCACGAAGGCGACGGCUCCCAAUUGCCGAUUCCGCGUGUUGGGAUUCGCAGCCAACAGCGUGCGCCACGUGGCGCUUCAUCACUGGCUGCACGAGACUGCGAGGCUACGGCACGGGUGUCAUGUGACGGUGUCUCCAUCGCCACCUGUACGGAUCGCACGCAAAGAGAUUAUGCGACUCACUUCUUCUCCGUCCGUUCGAUUCUUACCGCAUCCCAUCCGUUUUGAGCAUCGCGGCACCAUAAUUACGUCUAUGCGGACGUUCGUUUUGCAGUUGGUGCGUCGUUACCUUUUUCUCGUCCGUGCAAGGGGGAGAAAAUAUAGGAAGCGAAAAUAUUUGCGGAAAAAGGAAACGCUUUUUUUUUUUUAAUUCGUAGGGAGUAAAAGCUCUCGGGCGAGGAGCAUCGCAUUUCGCAUCGCUUCUAAGGCAAGGGAGAAAAGGUGAAGCGGCGAGAAACCCUAGAAAACCCUUUUACUCCCACUCCCCUUUACACCCUCGUCGUCCCCAAAUCGCCUCCCAUUUUUGGCGGCUCCCGAUCGGAUAUAGUCGUCGAUUUCCCCCAAUGCAGCUCCGAUCUGCUCCGGUUCGAGCUCCAAUGGCGGCGCGAUCGGGAUUUGGUGCGGUUUCGAUCCACCGUAGGGGGUUGUCGCAGUGUGUGGGUGGGAUUUGAGCUCGGAUUGAUCCGUUAAUGGCGUCUCGGUCGGGUUCGAGGACGAAGAAGGCGUCGCCGGGGGCGGCGAAGCCGGCGAACUCGCCGGCUUCGUCGACAACUUCGUCGUCGAGGCCGGUGCCCGAGGCGUCGCUGGAUGAGCAGAGCUCGCCGCUGUCGUCGGCGGCGGCGAGGAGCAGGACGCAUGAGUUCUACGCGGAGAAUGCGGCGUUGGAUGUGGAGGGGUUCAAGGAGAAUGUCACGGUUACGGUGCGGUUUCGGCCGCUAAGGUUCGGUUUCUAUCUCCUCUGUUCUUCUUCUUUGAGAAAAAUGGUAAUGCAUGUUGUCUGAGUGGUCGGAGUUCGGUGUCCGUGAAGCCCGCGGGAGAUUAGGCAGGGGGAGGAGAUAGCUUGGUACGCGGAUGGGGAUAUAAUUGUGAGGAACGAGCACAAUCCAUCCUUGGCGUAUGCAUAUGGUAUGUGGUAUGUGUUGCAGUAAAAUUAGUUUGAACAUUUUGAAGCUGAAUGUUAUUAGCGUUGAUAUCUACCAUGAAUCUUAAAAUUUGUUUGGCUUGAGAUUUCACUUUAAGAGAAGAAAUUGAUUUUAAGUUAUUUUUAAGUCAAAGCAGAAAUGCCCAAGCUGAAGUCAUUUGUGUAGCUUGAGUAACAACAGAGGAAGCACAAAAACUAUGAUAACUUGUAGGAACUUGCACUUGUUCGAAUAUAUUCUGCUCAGCAAUUUUAUCACGAAUAUUGCUUUCUCAAAUGAAUUGUUGGAAUUCUAGUUUAUCCAGUCUUAUGAUUCUUACACUUCAGUGAAGAAAAGUAAGCUCUUCUAUGUUAUUUGUAUCUGGUAUGUGUGGCUUCAAGCAAACAAUAUAAUACUUGUGAAAUUACCAGUAACCUCAGGUCUUCUAUUCAAUUCUCCUUUUCGACAUCCAGGGCAACUGAACUAACUCAACUGUAGAUAUCUUUCUUUAGUUAUUUACUUGUCUCACUGCAUGUGGAUUUUAUGUAUUCUAUGGAACUUUAUGUUGUUCUUAAUACAAGCAGAGAAGAUCCAUAAUGUUGUUCUUAAUACAAGCUGAGAAGAUUGGUGUCAGGUAAUUAAUUUUCUUUUCUUAAUCCUCCAGAUCGAGUUUUUGGACCUACUACUACGACACGUCAUGUUUAUGAUGUGGCUGCUCAGCAUGUUGUCGGUGGUGCUAUGGAAGGAAUAAAUGGUAAUUGGUUUUACAUGUUAUUUCUUUGGUCUAAAUCAAACAGUGUAAUAAACAAUGAAGGAAUUGUAAGUCAAAUAUUAUACGUUAAUUAGUCAUAUUAUUGUAUGUUAGUUCAGUUAUGUUUCAAGUUGAUCGGUUCUGUUUGUGCUUAUGAUUCUUUAGUCAUCAUUCCUUCAGAUGUUAGUUUCCUUGGCUUAAUCAAAUUUUCUUGCCUUUUCGGUCAUAGGUACAAUUUUUGCUUAUGGAGUUACAAGUAGUGGCAAGACACACACAAUGCAUGUAAGGGUUGCAACUUUUUUCCUUUUAUUUGUGGAGGAAUAUUUUCCCUUUCCUACAAGCUUAAUCUGGACAUCACAUACUGCUUUCAUAUGUGUGUGCUGUAGGAUUUUUAUAUGUCAUAGUUUAAAUUCUGAUAAAACUGCAGAAGAAGUGAGGAUUAUUCUAACAUUUCAAUUUUCUUUCUUUCGUGAUUCAAAUUCAGGGAGAUCAACGGUCCCCUGGUAUAAUACCUUUGGCUGUCAAGGAUGCUUUCAGUAUCAUACAAGAGGUAGUGUACAUUGGCUAUCUUCCAUAAUCCACCUAUAUUGGAUAUCCUAGAUACUCCAGCCAUUUACUUAUUCUUUAAUUUAUUUUUAUGUAGACUCCAAGUCGUGAGUUUCUUCUUCGUGUGUCAUACAUGGAAAUCUACAAUGAGGUUUGUUUUCUCUCAAUUGCUUAGCGUAUCAUGUCUGCAAUUCUUUGUGUAGCAUACGGAGGAUAUGACAUUCUGUUUUUUCAAAUUUUUAUUUUCUGCUUUAUGUUGUAUUAUACCCUGCAUUGCAGGUUUAUGUACUUCGAAUUUUUGAUAAACAUGGAUCUUAGAAUGUAAUUUUCACACUCUGAAUUUUGAUUGCAUCCCUAAGAUCUUUCAGAAUUAAGUGCAAAAUGUACAACAAUGACUCUGUUUGGCAGGUCAGCAACUGACUUUGUUGGGAACAUUUGCUUGACUAUGAGUAUGUUUGUUUCAUUGAAAGUGGAGGGGAAUGACGCUGUUUUCGGCAAUAAAUGCCCACUUCCAUUGUUUGAUUCGCCGUAAAAUACAUUCGCAUGUAACUCCACUUUCCCAAAAUGCCGUAAUUGACUUCGCCUUGGGUGGUGCUGGAGUCAAUUACGGGAAAGCAAGAGAUAUAAAAAUUAAAAAAAUAAUUGUUGUAACUUUUUUUUUUAUCCUCUUAUGUACUAGCAUGAAAAUUUUCAGUAAAAUAAAUAAAAAAGUGGUAUGGUUACAGCUGCAAACCUAUUGACUUACUAUCAAACAAACAACGGUGAAAAAAAAAAAUUUAUUUGAACUUCAGUUCAACUGAAAAGUCAUUUAAACUUGAAAGUCACUUACAGACAAGCAAGCAAACCCUAUAGUUCUCUACAUACCGUUGCUGCAGAAAAAAAUUGAGAAUCUCAAAUUGUGGUCCACGUGGUUAUAGUAUUGAAAGGGCAUGGUACAUGGAUAUUAUGUCAAUUGAUCUUAGUUGGAUUAAAUCAAAUUUGAGAGAAAAUUGUUUAUCCUCUUCUUGUGAAAUUUGUCUGCCCACUAAAUUCAUGUGUCACUAGGUUGCUUCGCAUUGGACUUCAUCUGAAAAUCAAUUUAGUAAAUGGAAGUAGAAGCAGUUCGUCUUUAAGUAGUCAAAUAGAAGUACUGCAUUUGGUCUUUGAACUUGUUAAACCCUGUUGUAAAUGCGUUUCAUUUGAAAGAAGCUAGGUUGUUGCUAGGAUUUUCGGACAGUGGACCGAUCAAGGAAAUUUAAGAUGUAUUGGCUUUAUUGAAUUUUAUGACUUUGGUUCUCCUAGUUCUCGGAUUAGUACCUUGACCUGCGUAAUUCACUUUAAUCAGGUUAAACACAUGAUAGUUUAGAUGCUAUUAUGGUAAAAAAGUCGAUGAUGGUUUUGAAGUUUAAUUUUGGGUGGCACUACUAGUCAUUGAGAGUUAUAACAGUCCAUCCACUGUUUCAUAUUGCAACUAGCCCAUGAAAACUUAGUAAGCAACUUUCUAAAAUUAGGUGUUUGCCACCGAGGUAGUGAGCACUCUGUUGCAUUUUGACUUGAUCUAGAAUGCUAUUUCUACUUGAGUAAUUCUUGUUUCUUUAGCAAGUACUUGUUCUGAAUCUUCCAUUUUUCUAGAAAUUGCUUGGUCCUUUCAAAGCUUUAUAGCAUUUUUGGUAACCUACUAUAUUGAUGUUUCAGGUGGUUAAUGAUCUGCUUAAUCCUGCUGGGCAGAAUUUAAGAAUCAGGGAGGAUCUUCAGGUGCUGAAUGUCACAAUGUUCACUCAUAAACAUCUUUCCUCUUUUACCUUGUAAUCUGAUUUGCAAUCACUCCUGAUGGGUCUUUUAGCUUAACUAAUCGACAUUUCUCUUUGAGAUUUUAUGCGGUUAUGAUGAUUUGUGCUUGCUUUUCACUCUUAAGAUUGGUAAGCUGAUUGUGGUCUCUAGUUGAGUUUUGGGAGGAAAAAAAAACAUUACACGUAUAUCUCGUUGGUGCCUUGAAAAUUUUCCCUGAAUUGCUCAAGUGUGCACUCAAAACUUUAAAAUUUUUCCUUGAAUUGCUCAAGUGUGCUCUCAAAACUUUAAAUCAAUAAAAUUGUGAAAGUUAGUUUUUGGACUCUGACAAACAGGUAGUUCCUAUACAAAUACAAAACUGAUUUUACUUACUUGGUAAUUAGCUGGUAUGAACCUUUAUCUGGGUAAUAUGGUAAUUUUUUUUUUGCGCUUGUUCUAUUCCUUCAAUCAUGCAUGGCUAGUUCAUGUUUUAGAGCAUGCUUAUAGCUUUUGCUGAAUUCAGUUGAUUGUAAAUUGAUGUUGUUUCUUGAAAUCUGUUAACCUCUCACUGUAGUGAUUGCGUGUUUGUGUUUUACAUGAUCUCAGGGAGCCUUUGUUGAGGGUAUUAAAGAAGAAGUUGUCUUAUCUCCUGCUCAUGCUUUGUCGCUUAUUGCAGCUGGAGAAGGUUAAUAUCGUACUUUGUUCAUAUGAACGUCAAAUCCCUUAAUUCAGAAAUAUUUUGACCUCCCAGACAUGCAAUUUGCUUUCAUUAUCAUUUGUAGUUUCUAGGUGGGAGUUAAUAGGCAUAAAUAUGUUAUUUAAUUAUUCAACUCACUUAGUUGUCUAUGACACUUACAGAAUUCUAAUAGCCAACCCUGCAUUGUUCUUGUAUACUAGAAUAAGCCCAUAAGCUCUGUCAAUUAUACCUCAAUAAAUUAUCUCAUUGUACCUUUUGUUCUAGAAUAAAUCAUUUUUCUUUAGGAUAUCUCUAGGCGUCAUGGACACUAACACGAGAUACGGGACACGACACGACUCGGACACCGCGACACGGCAACUUUCAAAAAAUUAGGACACGGACACCGCUAAUAAAAUAUAAUAUUAUUAAUAUAAUAAUAUAUUUUUAUUAUAUAUAAAAUAUUAAUUUUGGUAAAAUAUUAUUAUAUUUCUCAUACAAAUGAAAGUUAGUGAAAUUUUCAUUAAUAGUUCAUAUAUUUUAAGAAAAAAAUUCUCCACCACACAUAAUUUAUUUAUAUUGUCAAAAAAAUUAUAUACAUUCAUCAAAAAGCUACAAUAUUUAUUAUCUUACAUUAAAUAUGCAUAGAAAAAGUAAAAUAAAAAUAGGUUUAUAUUUUUUUUAGUUGUAUACGCUAUGGAUCAGCAUUAAAUGCGCGUUCAAAGAGUGUCCGAUGAGUCCACAUCGGACACGUGUCCGACAUGGAUAUACGCGUGUUCGACACGAACACGCAAGGCUUAUAGAAGUGUCCGUGAUACAUAGGGAUACCUUCUUGAGUAAAUUGUCUCAGAAUGGUCAUAUAUGUAAUCUUGCAUAGUCCACACUCGACAGAUAUUGAAGUAACUAAUUUCCAAUGAAUAUUUUCUGAUUAUUUGUUAUAUCUGACACCUUCAACUAUGGCUUCGUUAUUUUCUUCUUAGAAUUUUCACUCCUAUAAAAUUUCACUUCUGCUGGGGGCAUACAGUAUCAUUUUUUUGGUUGAUGUAUGCUUUGAUGACCCCAUUUUAGGAGCAGAAGCAGCAACUUGUUUUCUGGGGAAAUGUCCUUUCACUUCUGUACUGCCAUGAGUUGAAAAUUCUAAAUCUUAGUGUGUAAUCUUCUGUUGCUGGUGUAUUUAUGGCUUCUAUCUUUUGAUGGCCUGACAGAGCAUAGACAUGUGGGUUCCAAUAACUUCAAUCUGCUGAGCAGCAGAAGUCAUACCAUUUUCACACUGGUACAUCAAAAUUACUUAUUGCACUUCGCUUAUUUUGGCAUAGAGCAAUGUUUGUAUCAUUGAUUAAAGUUUAAAUGGAAGAAUGAUUAGAAUGGUUUGAAAACAAAUGCAUAUAUUUCUGUGAUUUUCUGUGAUAAACAGUUGAUGACCAAAAAGCUACUAAGCACAGAAAGCAAUAAAAGAUAUCAUACUCCCUUUUAUUGAUUUAAGACACUACCAAGAGUUCUAUUCAGAAGUAGCAUGCAUGCUACUAGCUAGCCAUAGUAAGCUAGAACAUAAGGCUCUAUUGCUGGUGCUGUUGUUUGUUGUCAACAAUUUCAACCUUUUUAACAGUCUCCUGAUACUAUGACAUUAGAAAUGUGUGAGAUACAUCAGAAGAAGACCUGAAGAAACUGUAACCAACUGAUAUAUUAUAAUGGAACUUAUGAGAAAAUGAAUCUUGUAGCUUUUCUGGUUUUUGUUUCUUUAACUUAUUUCAGUCAAAUUUGAGUGCUUUUAAAUUUCAAGGUCUUUAUAUUCAAAUUGUAAUAUGAAUUUCAAGUCUUUGACCUCCAAAUUUGGAAGCCAAUCAAUUCCUUCAUGAUCGGAUCAAAGAUCUCUCCCAUUAAAAUGUAAACUAAAGAAAAUUCAAUGAUACAUUAUUCUUGGUCCUCUCAUCCACAAUUCAAAAGCACGUCUCUUAUUUAUAGGUGUCGCUGAGAAAGAUAGUAAAAUUUAGAUGGACUAACUAUUUAGCUUUGUUUUGGAAUGUAUUAUGUUUCCUUUUUGGAAGCUCACUCUAUAGCAGCUUGUGCAAUCGUUAGUUCUAUGCAGCUUUAGGGUAUCUGCCAGAAGACAACAAUCAUGGUUGUUAAAUCUUCAUUUGCUUCUUGUAAAUAAGGAAGAUUUUUUUUUGCAAUGCUGACUUCAUAAAGUUUUAUUGUCCAAUAUACAAAUAAGGUUGUAUAUUUUGCCAUGAAAAUGUUUCUAUCUUCUGUUUUUCUUCUACUUAGCAUCCCAACCAUGUUUCACAAUAUUCUGCACUGCUGUGAAAGCACUAUGAAAUUCUUUAUUUUGAAGCUUCAAGUUGAUAUUUCCUUGUGCUUUCUAAUUACAGACGAUAGAGAGUAGCCCCUGCGGUGACUGUAGUGAAGGAGAAGUCAAUUUUUCGCAACUAGUGAGUUCAUAUUCACAAUGCUUUUGACUGGUUCUUCCUAAUACAAUUGUAUUAAGUUUGUUAUCUUACCAAAUCUUAGUUUGUUUACAUGAUUUAUUUUUACUUAAUGUUAUUCUCUUAGAUAUUUGUCGUGAGUCAAAAAAAAAGGGAAAAUAUAUAUCAAGCUUUUGAUGAUGGUUUGGUCUAUCGACCAAAAUUUACUUAAUACUAUGCAGUUAGCUAUUUGAUUCCUUGUUUUAAUUUUCUUUUACUCAUCUGCAGAACCUCAUCGAUCUGGCAGGUUCAGAGAGCUCAAGAGCUGAAACAACUGGAAUUCGCCGAAAAGAAGGAUCCUACAUCAAUAAAAGCCUGUUAACUCUUGGAACUGUGAGGCUAAAAACAUAAUAAAUCUACACAAAGUUAGAUGUUCACUAAGUUUCCUUCUCGUAACUCCAUGUUUUUACCUAAUUGUGUUCUUGUGGAACAUGGUAUUUCAGUUCCAUUACUCGAUCCAUCUUAUAAUAUCCUUUCUAUAGCUAUAUUCAAAUUGGUGCUCAUCCUCCAAUAUAUGUUGUGUAGCAAGAGCUUUUAUUUGAUGAGUUUUUAUAUGAAUUACUUUAUCACCAAUUGGCUAUAUUGCUUUCAUGUCAAGCCUUUCUGUUUGAUUUUUGUUUAGUUUCAUUCCUGGGAACCUAGCACCAAAACAUCUGCAGCUUUCCCAUAUUUUUGCUUUCGAAUGUGGACAAUCUCCUACUGUGGGAAGAUGGCUUAGACAAUGAUGUUUAUCGCUCCAAAUUGAGAUCACCAAUUGACCUACGAUAUACUUGUACUUAUCCAGUGGUUAAAAAGUAUUCAAAUCUGACCGGGCGUUUCAGUUUUUCUCAUGCUUAGCUUUCCAUCUAUCAUUGAAGAUGACAGCUUUAAUGAGAAAUUCCCAAACUAAUUAGCAUCUAUACAUUGAAGCUAGUUUAGCUAUAUAAAUAUUUAUAAUUGUAAAUCUUACAUAUGUUAGGGCGAUUAUUUUGAAUAUAGGUAAGAUUAAGAUAGUUGGGCUUGUGCUUUUCAGGUAAUAGCGAAAAUAACUGAUGGAAGGGCUACACAUAUUCCAUAUCGUGACUCAAAAUUAACACGACUACUGCAAUCCUCUUUGAGUGGUCAUGGGCGUGUUUCUGUAAGUUGCACUGAACAAUGCAUGUGCAAUUGAAAUUGAGCCAAUAACUUGUAGUGAUUCCUGAAGUUUGGCCAUUUUCAUUUUGUAAUAAAACUGUAAACUGUUGGUUAGAUGUCUAAUAUUUGCACUCUUCUGCAGCUUAUUUGCACAGUUACCCCAUCAUCUAGUAAUACUGAAGAAACGCACAACACUUUGAAAUUUGCUAAUCGAGCAAAACAAAUUGAGAUUCAAGCAUCGCAAAAUAAGGUAUAUCACUUUGCUUGUACAAUUGAGUAAUUUAGACUAUUCUUCGCUGUCGCUCAAUUUAACGGAAAAUUUUUGUUUUGUUUCAAGACAAAUAUGUCUAUUCAAUUUUUGACUUAUAUUAUAUUUGUUCUUUUGUUACCUAAUUUACUUAUCCGACAAAUACACAUCCUAUGCAGAUUAUUGAUGAGAAAUCUUUGAUUAAGAAGUAUCAAAAUGAGAUCCACAGAUUGAAGGAAGAACUAGAACAACUGAAAAGGGGCAUUGUUACUGGCACUCCUUUGAAAGAUACUGGAGAAGAUGAUAUUGUCCUGCUGAAACAAAAGGUCAACAUAACUUCAAGACACUCAAUUCUUUUGGCAUCUAGUUUUCAAUUUUACCUAUCCUUCACGGUGUUCCUUUUCCAUGGUGAUUUUACUUUAAAAUGACUGUACAUUUUGACUCGGUGAUGGUAUUAAUUGAAAAGCUAGAAGAUGGUAACGUGAAGCUGCAAUCGAGAUUGGAACAAGAAGAAGAUGCUAAAGCUGCUUUGCUAGGGAGGAUACAGCGUCUAACAAAGCUGAUUCUUGUUUCUACAAAGACAACUCAGGCUUCAAGGUUUCCUCAACGUCCUGGUCCAAGGCGAAGACAUUCAUUUGGAGAAGAGGAGGUUUGGCGAUUCAAAACUGUUCAUUCCUGCAUAUUUCUAUUUUCAGAUCUAUUUCCUAAUCUUGAGAAUACAUUCGUAAAAUGCAGCUUGCUUAUCUCCCAUAUAGAAGGCGAGAUAUGAUCUUGGAUAAUGAAAGUAGUGACUUUUUCGUCCCAGCCGAAGGAUAUGGUGAAACUACUGAAGAUACUUCAAAGGAGAAGAAAAAUCGCAAGCAUGGGCUCCUUAACUGGUUUAAGCAGCGGGUGUGGAUUAUUAAAUCCUGGAUAUCAAUUUGCAUUUUAGACUUCAUAUCCAUGCCGUGUGUCAUUAUCUUUUGAUUUCUUUUUCUUAUGUAGAUUCAUUUAGGGGCUGUUUGGUUGCAUGCAGUAACCACAUGCAAAUUUAAAUUCGACGUUUGGUUUGAUGCGUUUGAAUCCAAGUGCUGCAGUUGGAACUACAUGAGACCCAACUGUAGUUGGAACUACGUCCAAAUUGGCUGCAGUUCCAACUGUAGCAGUUGAGGAGAGUAACCUCAAACAAGAGGUAAGCUUACCUCCUUAAUUACUUUUUAAACAAAAAAAAAAUAUUUUUUAUAUUGGAGGUAAUCUCACCACCAUGUAUAUAAAGUGAUAAAGUUUUACAAACACACUUUUCAACUACAUGCAAUCAAACGAAUUAUUUAUAAGGGUUAAUUUCAGACAGGUCUCUACAAACAUAGUAAAUUAUAAAUAUAUUCCUACAAAGUUCAACUUUCAUAUGUUAUCUCUGCAAAUGUCCUGAUGUUUUCAAAUGUCCCUAUCGAUAGGAUUCGUUAAAAAAAAUUAGUUAAUCAUAGAUAAAAUACUUAACCCUAGUUAGUUAAUGAGGUGAAUUGACCUUUUUACCCCUUUUUAAUUAAUAGUUGGGACUUUUGGAGGGACAUAUUUAUGAUGUCAAAAAGGUCAUUUUACUUAUAAAAUAAACUGUAUUUUAAUGGUAACAAAUCAGAGAGAUAUAUUUGAAAAUAUUAGGACUUUUGUAGGGACAAUAUAUGAAAGUUGAAUUUUGUAGGGAUAUAUUUGCAAUUCACUAUAUUUGCAAGGACCUGUAUGAAAUUAACCCUAUUUAUAAUUGCAGCACGUUUUACUGCAUCCAUCUAAAUGAGAUAUAUGUAAUUGUAACUGCUGCAUCUCUAACUGCUUGCAUCUUCAUCUACAUUGCAUUUCUAAUUACGUCAAACCAAAUGACUCCUUAGUGUAAUUAGACUUUAUUUAAUAAAUCAGUCUAGAUUUUGGCCUUCCUUUCCUGGUUUGGUCAUCCAAUAUUAACUAAAUUUUUCUUGUAUUUUGCUCUUAAGUGAUGCACUCAGUAAAUGAAGUGGCUGAAUAAUCUUUUCCAUCUGUUUCUGACUAAGACCAUUUUGGUCUUAUCCAUGCACUGCUGGAUCAUAAUUAGGAAAACAUUGCCCAACCAUCACAUCAGCGUUAUUGUUUUGUCCUUGUCUUCUUUAUUCAUUCUCAUGCAAUUUGUACUGCUCCCUGCAGAAAAGAGAUAGUAGUGGAACUACACUUACAAGUUCAGAUGGAGAUAAGUCGAGUGGAACCAAAUCAUUUACUGCUCCUUCGACUCCCCAAGCAGAGAGUGUAACCUUUCCUCCAGAGCCCAGGAUAUCGACUUCUAUUGCUGUGGAAAAUAUCACCGCUGCUAUCGUGGGACAUGAUAGAGAACUCCCUUCUGACAGCCUUUCAAGGGAUGAGACACCUUUGGUAUGAGAUUUCUGAAUUUUCUCAAAAGAUAAACAUUAUAUAUUCUUUCCUUUCUUGUGAGUAGCUAUAUGUUUUUUUUUUUUUUUAAUGAAAGCAAGCACCUCAUACUCUCCUAUUCAAAGAACAGACAAAUUUCUAGAAAUACUGCUAUGAUGUUGGAUUUGCUCUUUGUUAUAGUUUUCCAUCUUUGGAUAGCUUUCUUAUAAGAUAAUACUCAAAAGGACAAAUAAAUUUCUAGAAAUACUGUUGUAAUGUUUGAUUUACUUUUGUUCUGCCACUACAAGUUUGGGCAUAUGAAGCAUGGAUGAGUUUGAACCCUAUUGGUAUAUCUUUCCAUCUUUGGAUAGCUUUUCUUAUAAGAUAGUAAUCGCACUGUCAUCUUCACAAAUUCAUUUUCAAAGAACUAAACUAAGCUGAAAUCAAAUGAUAGUAAUCAUAGUCGAACUUUCAUCUUCACAAAAACAUUUUUGAGUAAUGUAGCUCUGCUGAAAUCAAACUUUGUUAACAAGAUGUCCUGACCAUUAAUAUCAAAGCUCUAAAUUUGUAAUUACGUAUAACUUAAUAACCACAUAACUCUGUGGAGCUGUAUCUGCUUUCUCAAUUUAUGGCACUCGAUUAUAUAUUAGUAACAUCAUAUGUUAUGUGAUGACAGGCUAGCAUAAAAACUAUAGAUCAUGUUGAUUUGCUCAGAGAGCAACUCAAGAUUUUGUCCGGAGAAGUUGCACUCCAUACCAGCGUCUUAAAGCGGCUCUCAGAAGAAGCAGCAAAUAGCCCCAAGAAGGAACAGAUUCAGGUAAUCUUUUACCCUCCUGCACUCCAUGAUCUGCACAAAUAUACACGACACUUGAUAAGCCAUUUAUUUGUUGCAGAUGGAAAUAAAGAAGAUUAAUAAUGAGAUUAAGGCCAAGAACCUGCAGAUAUCUUCUUUGGAAAAGCAGAUGGCUGAUUCGAUAUCAGCUACUCAGGCCAAGGCGGAUAAAUCAGAACUUUCACCGGUAAGGCAGUAAUUUUCAUUCUACGCUACUUGUUAUUCCGGAUAGUCACUAUAAUUGGCGGAGCCACUUUUUCUUGCAGUCUUAUGCUCAACUACUCGAGCAACUCAACGAAAAGAACUUUGAACUUGAGGUAAUAAAACAUUAGUCCAUUGUAUCCUCUUUAAUGCAAACCCUUCGCUUAUUUACAGCAUAAUAAACAAUACAAAAGUCAUGUUGGGUACUAUUCAGUGUGGUCUUUAAGGAACUGCUUGAACUGAUUGCUGAGGCAAUCACUUUGCAAUCUAUGACAGGUUAAGACUGCGGACAACAGAGUGAUACUCGACCAGCUGCAGAAUAAGGUUGGACUUGAUUUGUACAAUUAUAAAUAACAUGCCUAAAUUGUUAUGGAGAACCUGAUCAUCAUGUUUUAAUUUAUUCUCCUUGUCAGACACGAGAAUGUGAAGUGUUACAGGAAAUCGUCACUUCACUAAAAGAGCAGCUAUCGCAAGCACUUGAAGAAAAGGAAUUGUCUUUGUCAUGCGCUCGAUUAGAGAAUGAUGUCGCAGGAGCUAAUGAUGGAAAAGAACUGCACGUAGACAUAGAAAAGAAAGCAACAAGAGAUGUUACUGCUGAGUUAUUGCUACAAGCACAUCAGGUCACAUCUAUUCUCUUAUAAUAUGUUUGACUCUGAUGAUCGUAGUACUGCAAAAUCUAUUUUUAAGGUAGCUUUACUUGUUUUAGAAUUACUUCUAAUUCUCUUUUCUGAUAACUUUAUGACCUUCUUGCCUCUUCAUUACUUGUUUUUACUCCCUCAGGCAUCUGAGAUCGAAGAACUGAAGCAGAAGCUCCAGGAACUCAUGGAAACGAGAACCCAACUAGAAGCCCGGAAUCAGAAGCUAGUAGAGGAGAGUGCAUACGCCAAAGGGUUGGCCUCAGCUGCAGGAGUGGAACUAAAAGCUCUAUCUGAAGAAGUCACCAAGCUCAUGAACCACAAUGAGAGGCUCGCCAAUGAAUUGGCAUCCGUUAGAAAUUCUAAUCAACGGAGAGUGAGUAACGGACCGAGAGCUAUGAAAAGAGAGAGCCACAUUAAGCGCCAUGAACCUGUAAAUAAGAGGGAGGUGAAUGUGAGCUACGAGAGAGAGCUCGCUCUCGAAGCUACAAUCGUUGAGAAGGAGCAGAGAGAGGCAGAGCUCCAAAAGAAGCUCGAGGAGUCGAAACAAAGGGAAGCCUUUCUAGAGAACGAGCUGGCUAACAUGUGGGUCCUUGUGGCAAAAUUGAAGAAGUCGCAAGGGAGCGAGCAAGAUGAUUCGGAUGCCAAAUUGAAAGAUCCCUAAUUGGCAAAGGUUAGGGCAGGAAAGAGGAUAACUAGAUUUUAGUCAUCGUGUUGAUUCGGGUGUUUCUGUAUGUAAAAGAGAGGUUAUUGUAUAUUUGUGUGCUUCUUUUGUAAUAUGGAUCCGGGUUGUCUCUGUUGCUUCUAUUCUUUGAUUAGUUGCUCAAAUUUGUGAUAUAAAAUGUCUGUCUGGCAACAAAAAGCAUGUAUUUGAUGCAAUGACAGUAUUAUAUGCUCCUGCUCAGUCGCUGAUCCAAAAUUCAGUGAAAGCAGCAGCAAAUUAUGUUUGGUUCUUUAUUAAGCCCUGUAAUUUUUAUGGCUAUCGUGAGGAAUGGGAAUUGCGAAUCUGCUUCUGAAAAAUAAGAAGGAAAGAGGAUCUUUUUUUCAAUUCCUUUUUUUUUGUGAAGAUGCCAGCAGGCUACUUGCAUGUAGGGGUGGCAAUUCAGCUCACUGUUUGCAAGUCAGCUCAUGUUCAGCUUGAAAUGAGCUCGAGAUCGAAUCGCUCGUUUAGUAAACGAGCCAAACACGAGUUGAAUUUUUUAGCUUAUUUAGUAAACGAGCCGAACACGAGCUGGAGUCAGCUUACUCGUGUUCUGCUCGAUAAUAGCUCGAAUACAUAUAUUUUAUAUUUAUAUAAUUUAUAUUUAUAUAUAUUUAUAUAUAUAAAUAAAUAAUUAUAUAUAUUUAUUAUUUGAUUUUAUCAAAAUGAAAAUAUAAAUGCGAGCUUAAUUAUAAAAAAAUUUAUUUAUAUAUAAAGUUUCGAUCAAUUAGAUCAAAGUCUAAUGAGUAGUUUUUAUAAUUCAAUUUUUAUAUAUAUAUUCCAUCUAAUAUUAACUUAUUGUUCACAAUGAGCCGAACACGAGCUGGAUUUUUUAGCUCGAUAACUUUAACGACUCAACUUGUAUUCGACUCGUUUAUUAAACGAGCUGAACACGAGACGACCCAGCUCCUUCGUGUUCGGCAGGUAGCUCAAGUUUUUAUAGAUAAAUGAUUAGUUUAUAUUAUUUAACGUAAUAUUAGCACAGGAUGUUUGCAUUUCAAAUUUCGUUAGGUCUCCAGUCUUGUUUAAAUAUAAACAGGGCCCUUAUAAAAAAAAAAAAAAAGGACGAAAGAGAGAGAGAACCGUCAUUUUGCAUGCUGAAGUAUCAGCGCCACGUGAUUACUGCUAAACAGAGCCCGAAUCACAACCUGUCAUGUCAACGGACCACUCUUUUUAAUUUUUAUUUUUAAUCUUUUACACUGCAUGAAAUCACUGAUGUACGUAAAUCAAAUCUCCUAGUCCUUAUUAUUAUUAUUAUCAUUUUUAAUCUUUUACACUGCAUGAAAUCACUGAUGUACGUAAAUCAAAUCUCCUAGUCCUUCUUAUUUCGCUGUCAUCAGGAAUGAAGUCCGCAAUUAAAAUUCGCCCGUGGGAGCGAAGAUUUGGAUUCAGCAGAGAAAGAUUUCCGCCUCGAAUAAUUAAGAAAAGAGUUUGUCAGUUUAUUACAGCGAGUUGGAAUUCUACACUAUUACACUUGUACUACAUCAUCGAUAACAAAUCAAUCACAUUUUUUCUUUUUAAAUAAAAAUACAUUAAAAAUAUUUUUUUACAAUCAUGAUCGGACAUAUACUUCUAAGGGCACGUUUGGUUCGCAAGAUUACUAAGGAUAAACAGAUAUCCGAGAAUCUUAUUUUUAUGCAUUCUAUUACUAAGAAUGUAAUAUUUCGAUAUUUGGUUCGUACGGUCAUAUUAUUUAGUCGUACUAUUUGAGAUUACGAAAAAUAUACAAUUAAUUUUUUUUAAUUAAUUUUAAAUAAUACUAUAAAAAAAAUUCAACAUCUUUUUAGAAUGAGAGGGUUGAGAUUUUAGAAAAAGAGAGGGAGAAAUAGUUAAGUUUAGAGAGAGAAAAAGAGUUGAAGUUUAGAAAAAAAGAGAUAAAUUAGAUAGAGAUAUGAAAUUAGAAUGUAAAGAAAAAUAAUACCAACUAGCCGGCCAGUGGGAAAAAAGAAAAAGAUUAGACAUAUUAUGAUUACCUCAAUUCAUUACUCUCUCAAAGGAAUGAGAUUAGUACUUUGGGAUGAAUCUCAUUCCCAAGUAAAUCUAGUAUUAUCAACUAGAUUACUUAGUACAUUUAGCUAAAUACCGUAAUAUUUUUUUAUUCCUAUUGGAUUACUAGAAAUCUUAAAAAGAUAGUGCGAAUCAAACGCACCCUAAAAAGAGACAUUUGAUUGAUUUGUUACGCCACGUCACCAAUAUACCCGUUGCAUUCUAGAAUUUUACCAACAAGGAGACGAGGACGAUGUGCUGAAAUAAGAGUAGGACUAGAGAGACGGUGGUGGAAAAGGGUUGAGAUCGGAGUUGACGAAAAGAUUAAUUGAGAAAACAAAUUUAGUUAAAAAGUUUUAAUAUUGGCCCACGUAAAACCAAAGAUAAAAAUAUAUAAAACUUAUCUAAAUAAUAUAUAAAUUAUUUUGAUUUUCCUAUCUAAUCUUUCAAUUUAUUUAAUUUGAAUUAGUUUAUAGUACACUUCAACUUUAAAAUUAAAUUUAAUUAUUUUAAUAAAUAUGUGAUUGCGAGAAUUGUUUGGAGCAUAUAUACUAGCCAAACCUGUUAAGAUAACGACGCAUUCAAAUUUUAAAGCAAAAGAACCGUUAACUGACUUAAAUCAAAUAAAUUGAAAAGGGUGGUAAAAUCAAAUUGAAAGUUUUAAGUGCUCAAUAAUUCAGAUAUCAAACUAUGAUUUGUAAUUUUUCGACUUUUACUAUAAAGGACUUAUACAUAACAUUCUAAAAUUGAGGGAGGCAAAUAGGCAAUGGCCACUGGAGUCUCAUAAUGGCUCUGUCCCUCACUGUCACAGUAUGUCCCGUACGUCCGAUUAAGUUAUUUAAUAAUAAUCUAUCUAUAUUAUUAUAUGAUAGUAAUAUUUUUUUAAUUGGAAGUAAAUAAAAAUUAAUUUUUACAUUUUUGGAAAAUUUUGACAUCGAUAUAUCUUGCUUAGAUAGUGUUUUUUAUUUAUAAAAUAUUUUAUCUUCAUUCGUGAAAAUAAAUUGAAGAUUGAAUUUGAUUUUUGAUUCAAGAAAUAUAUUCAAACGUACUUCCUAUUUACACCUUCUUAGGAUGUGUUUGAUUACUUGUAAAAUUCAUCCGAAAAAAAAAAUCUCGGUUGAAAAAUAAAAUUCUAAUGUUUGUUUGCUUGCAAAAAAAUUUCGAAAAAAGUUUUACAAACGGGAAGGAAAAUCGAAGUUUUCAUUUUCAGCUCGAUCUGAGCGGUUUUGUCAAAUGUUUUAUAUGAAGAAACAAAAAACGCGCGAUGCAGCAAAAUAAUAAUUUGUACAAAGAAAAAUUCAUCUCAUUCCUUGUGAAUUUUUCUUUUGAGAGAAAGGUAGCAAGUUAUUCUUUUCUUUUAUUUUAGAAAUAAACUCCUGGUACUAACUAUCGAAUUUUUUAAUCAACUACAUUAAGUACUGCCAGUACAAAUAAAUAUUUUUUUAAAAAAAUUCCAAAUAAAUAGUAUGACACUGCAUCUUAGGGGCAGUUUGAUUGCAUGCAGUUGCAACUACACUGCAAUUAUAACUGCAUGCAAAGACAAAUUUUGUGUUUAGUUUGACAUAUUUAACUUCAACUAUUACAGUAAAAACUGCAGAAGGAAAUUCAACUAUAAUAGUUGGAAUUACGUCCAAGUUGGCCGCAAUUCCAACUAUAAUAGUUGGAGAGAGUAACUUUAAGCAAAAAUUAUGCUUAUCUCCUUAACUAUAGAUAAAAACUAUUUUUCACAUUAGAGAUAAUCUUACUAUCAUACAUAUAAUAAUAAUAAUAAUAAUAAUAAUAAUAAUAAACUUUUAAAAAUAAUUUUUUAACUGCAUUCAAUCAAACAAAUUAAUAAUUUAUAAUGAUAAAAUUUUAAAACUUAUUUCUUAACUGCAUGCAAUAAAACAAAUAAUUUAUAAUUAUAGUAAUUUUACUACAUCGAAUAAAAUAGAAUGCACGAAAUUACAACUGACCAAUUUUUAUAUUAUCAUAGAUAGUGUAUUUAUAAUAUCUAUUUCUCUAUAUUAAAGGAGGGUUUGGGGACCUUGGGGUGACAUGUGUUCUCCCAAACCCCUUUUACUCUUCCCUCUAUAUAUAUAUAUUAUAAUUAUUAUAUAUAUUAUAUAUAUAUAUAUCAAAAUUUAAAAUUUUGAUACUUUUCAAAAUUUUAAAUUUUUAAAUUUCAAAUUAAUUUAUAAUAUUUAUUUUUCAAAUUUUAAAUUUUAAAAUUUAAAAUUUUUAAUCUCUAAACUCUAUAAAAUUAAUUAAUUAAUUAAUUUUAUUAAUAAAUUCAUUGUAUAUAAUAUAAUUAAUUAAUAUUAUUAAUAAUACAGCUAAUAAAUCGCAUAAUAAAAAUCUAUUUGAUCGAUGCUAUAAAAAAUACAUAAUUUAAAUUUGAAUUGUAAGAUUUUAAAAAUAGUGCGUGUGUAUAUAUAUAAUUAAUUUUAUUAAACAAAUUCUUCCAUUAUUUUAUUUCCCUUCUAUUUAUUUUUUAAAAUUAUUUUGAUAUAUUUAUCAUAAAUCUUUUUUUGCAUAAAUCUUUAUAAAAUAAGUUGUCGUUUUAAUAAAUUUUAUUUAAAUAAAAUUAACUAUUAAAUUAUUUUUAUAUAAUUUUUAUUUAAUUAAUAAUUAGAUUUAUAAAAUUAUUUAAAAAUAUAAAAAACUAAAAUUUAUUAAAAAAUAUUUUUAAAUUCCCAGCAUCGCGCGGGUAUUUCACGGAUAAUUAUAUUAAACCAAAGGGCCCUUUAGUAGACAUCGGCAAGUGGCAUAGUUGACGUUUUAAAAAAAAAAUUAAAAAAAAAGAGAAUAUUAUUAACUGCUACUUAAUGAGCGGCAGUGCCUCAAAAGACUCAAUUAUUUAAUUUUUUAAGGCCUGUGUUGUUGACUUGGUUGUCUCGCCUCAAUAUAUUUUGUAGUUCGUGACCCUGCACUAUAUUUAAAGCCAUGUAUGUAGCACCAUAAGUAUUGCGUUGAAUAAAGGUAAAAGUAUACAGAACUUACCUGACAUGUAAAAUAUUUAGAUUUGAUUAUUUAAUUUUUUAAAAUUUUAAUUUUAUUAUCUAAUUUUUUAAUUUACUUGAUUUGAAUUGAUUAACGAUAUGCUGACUUUAAAAUUUAAGCUAAUUCUUUACUUUAGUAAACUUAUAGCGGUAAGAAUUCUAUACAAUAUAUUAAUUAAAUAUAUAAAGAUAUAUAAACGCUGCAUUUAAAUUUCAAAUUAAAAAAAUUAAAAGCUUAGAUAGUAAAAUUAAAAUUUUAAAUAAAUUGGACAACUAAAUCUAAAUGCUCCAUAGUUCACCAUUUGAUUUUAUCUUGAAUAAAUGACCUUUUUAUGUACCGUAAGAACUGUGUGACUAAAAUGAAAAAAUAUUACUUUUAGAAAUCAUUAAAAUCUAAUGUAAUGGGAGAUACAACAGUUACAACUAUGUAUAUUUCAUUUGGUUUGACGCAGUAAAAAUCGUUGUAAUUAUAAAUAAUUUAUUUAGUUGCAUGUAGCUGAAAAGUAUAUUUGUAAAAUUUUACCGGAUGAUGAGAUCACCUUUAAGGUGGAAAAGAAAAAUAAAAAAUCAAUUUAAAGAAUGAUUAGGACCGUAAGCUUAUCUUUCGAUUAAAGUUAUUCUCUUCAACUGUCGCAGUUGGAACUCCAACAAAUUUAGGUAUAGUUUCAACUACUACAGCCUGCACUUGGACCUUUUUAUGUAGUUUCUACUGUAAUAGUUAAAUUCAAACGCAUCAAACCAAAUGUUAGAUUAAAAAAUGAAAAACCCUAGGAGAGAGGAUAAAAUAUUAAAUUCCACAAUUUCUCCAUUUCUAAUACAAGUAAUCUAAUCUUAACAUAAAACUUUCAAAACCAUAUCUCUAAUUUCUAACAAUUUAUUCAAUAAUACAAAAUUUCAAAAAUCUAAAUAAAUUCACUAAAUAAAAUUUUGAAAAAUUUAAAUUUUGAUAACUAAAGAAAAUAAUUUUUUGAUCCUAAUUAAUUUUUUAAUUGCGUCACUAGCUUGACACCCAUCAAUACAAAAUAUAUAUGUUAGCCUUGGGUGAAAAAAUUAGUGCACCAUGAAUAAUCAUAUGCAUGUGUAUUCAAUAUGAAAAAUAGGUGCAAUUAGUGGAUAAUAGGAUAGAUAAAAAUAACAUGAACUCAUAAUUAGAUCUGAUAUCAUGUUACUUAAAAGUUUGAUCCAAUAAGAAAAUGCUCAAAAAUAUUUGUAACAGUACUCAAACUGUAUAGCAAAUACUAAAAUGUGAGGGACUUGUUAUGCCUUUCUCGGAAAUUAGAAAGUCUCUGGAACUCUCUUUGCACUUCUCAAUGAAUGUGGAGCCACAAACCUAAAAGGCAUCUUUUUUAUUUAUCAAUAAAGUGAUUUAUACUUGUGUUAGAGCUUUUUCCCUUUAGGAAAAAAAAAAAAAAAAGUAACUUAUGAGUUGUGUCAUUGUGUGUCACUGUGUGUGUGUGUGUGUGUGUGUAAGAGAGAGAGAGAGAGAGAGAGAGAGAGGGUUUACUUAACUCAUAAGAAGAAGAUCAUGAAUCUAUGUCUAUGUAUAGAGGCUUUGAUUAGUAGUCUAAUAAAUAAAUCAAGUUAAUUUAUCACCAAAAAUAUAGAUAAAAAAUGUAUGGAGACCCCCUUUCAAACUAAUCUUUUCAAAUUUUUAUUUGAUUUUUUAUAGUUAAAAGUUGUAUCAAUUUAAUAACUUUGUUGGUUAUUAACCAUUAACUGAUCUGGUUUUGCCGGCUAAUCAAUAAAUUUGAUUAAAUUUUUAAAAUUUUUUAACUAAAAUUACAUAAUUUGAAAAAAUAAAAAGUUGAAAGCGUUUCAAUAAAACGAAAAAAAAAUUGAGAAGCAAUUUUAAAAUUUAAUAUAGUUGAAGGGUCUGCGUGCAUUUUUACCCAGAAAAAGAUUAAAUGCAUACAGGUCUGUGCAAAUAUAUUUCUAUAAAGUUCAACUUUCAUAUAUUGUCUCUCUAAAACUUCUAAUAUUUUUAAAUAUGCCUUUUUGAUUUAUUACUGUUAGAGAGCUGUUUAUAUUUUAAUAGCAAAUAAAUGAAAUAUUAAUUUUGCCAUCACAAAUAUGUCUUUUCGAAAGUCACAAUAGUAUAAUAUAAGAGGGAUAAAAAUAUCAAAUUAUUUUAUAAACUAACCAAGAUUAAGAUUUAAUCUAUUUAAAAUUUUCUAACGGAUUCUAAUGGUAAGAACAGGACUUUUACACAAACAACAUAUUAAAAUUAGAUUUUAUAAAAAUAUAUUUUUAAUUCAUUAUAUGUUCACAGCAACAUUAAAAAAAAAAAAAAGAAAAAGAAAAAGAAAAAAAAAGCACAGACACACACACACAAACACAAUUGAUUACUAAUUACGGCGGAUCUAGGAUGAGGGCCACCGAUUCCUUCUGCAGCGCUUUACGGGUGCGUUUGGUUCGCGCUAUCUUUUAAAGAUUCCUAAUAAUUCAAUGGGAAUAAAAAAAUAUAACGGUAUUUGGCUAAACGUACUAAGUAAUCUAGUUGGUAAUAUUGGAUUCACUUGGGAAUAAGAUUUAUACCAAAGUACUAAUCUCAUUUUCUUGAGGGAGGAUGGAUAUCCUCAUAUUAAUGGAUUGGGGUAAUCAUAAUAUGUCUAAUUUUUUUCUGUCUUCCUAUCCGCCGGCUAAUUGAUAUUAUUUUUUUUUACACUCUAACCUUAUAUCUCUCUCUAAACUUAUUUUUCUCUCUAAAAUUCAACUUUUUUUUCUCUCUCCAAACUAAGCUCUCUCUCUCUCUUUCUAAAAUUUCAACUCUCUCACUUCCUCUAAUUUCGACUAUAUUUUUCUUUCUAUUUUUUUAAUUAUGCUCUCUCUCUCUAACUUAUACGCUCUCUCUAUUUUUUCUAAAAAGAUAUUGAAACUUUUGGUAACAUUAUCUAAAAUUAAUUGUAUAUUUUUUGUAAUAUUAAAUAACAUGACUAAUUAAUAUUACCGUGCGAACCAAACACAGAAAUUCCACAUUCUUAGUAAUAGGAUGAAUAUGAAUAAGAUUCUCGGAUAUCUUUUAUUCCUAGUAAUCUUUUAUAAUGCGAACCAAACGCAUCCUACAAGUAAUCCCAACCCUUCCUUUUUGCCUGGUCGGCGGCACGUGUCACUUUUCCAAUGGCCAACCAUUGUGCACCUGGUCCAGUGGGACCACACCAAACUUGGACGUAUCCUCCUCGGCCCACUCAAUGAAAAAGGAACCCCCCACUCCAUAGCUCUAUAAAACGAAAAAUUCUAGAAUGCAACGGGUAUAUUAGUGACGUGGCGUAACAAACCAAUCAAAUUAAUCCUUUUAAGAAUAUAUGUUCCAUCAUGAUUGUAAAAAAAUACUUUUAUUGUACUUUUGUUUGAAAUGAAGGAAUGUGAUUGGCUUGUUAUUGAUGACGUGGUGCAAGUGUGACAGUGUAGAAUUCCUCCUAUAAAACCCCCCAUAUAUCACACUCCAUGUAUACUUAUAAUUGAGCUUCAAUUUCUCACAUGGCGAACGCUUACUAUUUUCACAACACCCCCCCCUACUACCACCAAAACCCUUAUUCCCAGGCACACCACCCCAGCUCCCACGCAGCGCAACCCUUCCCCCUCCACCUCUGCUUCUUCCUCCUCACCCUCUUCCUCUUCAUCGCCUUCUCGUGGUACAUGAGCUACGAGUCGGCCCUCGAGAGCCUGAUCGAGCAGGUCAAGUUCCUCUUCAUGGUGUCGCCGCUGGUGCUGCUCCUGGUGGUGCACCUGAUGUCGAGCCGCGAGAGGCGGCACGUGCCGUUCUUCGCGCCAUUGCCAGAACACCAGCAGCCUUUCUACUGCAGCCGCGGUCGCGCGGGCGGAUCCCCGUGGGGGGUCGCGCUCGUGCUGGUGCUACUUAUGUUCAUGAUCUCCUACCAGUCUUACUUCCACGAGAGGUGGUUCCCCCUGCUGAGCAGGUGAUCAGGGGCCAAAUUAAUUAAAUAAAUAAACUUGUGUGUGGUUUAUAUAUAUAUAUAUAUAUAUAUGCUUUGUUUUGUAUAAGAAGGGCUAGCUAGGCUUCUUAAUUUGCUUUUCUUAUGGGGCUAAAGAAGAGGGGCAAGAUAUAUACAUGUGUGCUCCACUUUAAUAUUCCUUCCAAAUAUUAAUGCAUUAUGUUAAGUCCUAUGGUAAUAUGUAGAGGUUUCUUUUUUCUUUUUUCUUUUUUCUUUUUUUGAUAUUUCGCAGAUUUUUCGAGAUUCCAAAUACCUCAACUCUCUUUUUUUUUUUUUAAUGGUUUAAGAGAUGAUUAUAAAGCUAGACUACAAUGACAAGGAGACUAAAAACUUAGCAUCGGACCAGCUAUUGUCACACCAAAAAAAGGAAGAAAAAAAAAAAAAAAGAAAAGCAAAACAAAGCGGCUAAAUACCUUGAUUUAUAACUUAUAAUCGAUCGUAGCUUGGUAAUUGGGAUCGAAGCCAGUCGGGAAAAAAAAAAAUUCACUGAGGAGCUCUCGAACAACACUUCAUUAAAAAAAAUUCUAAUCCACAUGUAUUACUUUAUCUUUAUAGGAUUAUAAUCAUUCCUUCUAGAAUUUUUUUUUAAAAAAAAUUAAUAUUAAAAAAUAAUUCAACAAACUAUUGGAUGAAAGUAAAACUAAUACGUGACAGUGGACCUGGAGCUUUCCAAAAAAGUCAUCUAUUCUGUCGUGAAGUGUCACUUUUUCUCCAUUCAGAAUUAUAUGUUGGCUAAAUUACAAAAAAUCUUUCUGUAAUAAUCUGUUUUUUUACUUUUUCUUUCUGACAUUUAAAAAUCUACAUUUUACUCCCUUGUAAAAUAAAAAAUAUUCACAGGGGGUUACGGCGUGUAAAAUGAUCAUUUUGCCCCUCGUCAUUUUCGUCUUCUUCCUCAUCUUCCUCAGCCGCCCCUUCGAUCGGCCGCGAUUUCUUUCUAUUUCCUUCUCCACCUACUCCCCUUCUCCUCCAGCACCCUCGCCGUCCCUCGAUUUUAACGAUAGUAGGGAGAAAAUUGAGGUGGGUGUUGAUGGAGAGGUAGGCAAGGGCAACGAGGGCGAAGGCGAGGCGGCGGAGGAGGGCGAAGGGGAUGUGGGCGAGGGCGAGGCAGUGGAGGACGGUGAGAUGGCGAGGCGGCGAGCGGAGGAAAGCGAAGCAACAAAGAAGAGGGCGGAGGGGUAUUUUCGGUAUAAAAAAAUAUUUUAUAACAGAACUCUAACGGUAGGAGGUGAAGUGCACAUUUUUUAUUUUAUAAGGGGGUAAAGUGUAGGUUUUUAAAUGUCAAGGAGGGGAAAGUGAAAAAGCGGAUUAUUAUAGAGAAGUUUUCUGUAAUUUAGCCUUAUAUGUUUAAGCCUUAUAUGAGAUGAUUCCGCCGCCCAUUAGUGGCAGUUUAGACCCACACUAUUCAUAUUACUCGCACUAUCCAUAUUAGACAAUAUAAGGAUUCAUGAUCCUGAUGCUAAUAAAUCCAUAUUAGAUAAUGAGGAUUAUUCAUGAUCCUGAUGCUAAUAAGUAAGGACAUCACUACACGCACAAGUUAUCUGUUUUGUUUCCUUUUUUUCAGAAAUAAAUUUAGUUAGAAAAUAUAAAUAAUUAGGUUUCGAAUUUAAAAUGUCAAAUAUCAAUCAUCAAACUCUUAGGCAAUUACGCGAGGUACAUUUAGUGGUUAGUUACUAUACAUGCCCAAUUUUCUUUUCUUUUUUUUUUGAGGGAUAAGUGAUUUCUACACACAAAUUUGUACCCAAUGCAUUGCUAGUAGUACCCAAUGGAUUGGUUGUUGCUAUCCGAAGUUUCAAGUUUAAAGUUUAAUUACUUUAUAUUUUUAGAUAAAUUUAGUUUUAAAAUAAAAAAAAAACAGAUAGGAGGCUUAGUUUUCUCUAAAAUAAUUUUUAAAAAAAAUGCAUUGCCCAUAGCAAUAGAACCAUUUGGAAUGCUCGUUUUGUGCAUGUUAUAUGCACUAUGAAUAUAUAGCUGGUUGAAUAGGUUAUCCUAAAUAGAAGUAGGAAUACUAAAACACUAUAAUAUUGCAAAGCUGCAACAAAAGCUUGUUUAUUUGGUCUUUUUUAUUUAGAGUAUAAUAUUAUUUAAUAAAAUAUUAUCUAAGCAGUACUAUUUGCAAAUCCAUUGUGUAUAUAUUUUUUUAAUUUUCUCAUGGCUUUUCAAAAUUAUGUUCUUUGCUAGCUAAACAAAGAGAAAACUUCAAAUACCCCUUUGUGGUUUUACUUUUUUUUCACUUUAGUACCAUGUGGUUUAAAGUAUAUCAAGCUAGUAUCCUGUAGUUUUGCAUUUGUUCACUUUAGUACCCUGUGGUUUAAAGCGUAUCAAGUUAGUACCCUAUGGUUUCGCACUUUCUCACUUUAGUAUUCUGUGGUUUAAAAAUUACGGGAUACUCAUUUGAUACAAAAAUAAAACCACAGGGUACUAACUUGAUACAUUUUAAACCAUAGGAUACUAAAGUGAGAAAAUGUGAAACCACAGGUAUAACUUGAUACACUUUAAAUCACAUAAUACUAAAAUAAAAAUGUACGAAACCAGGGGGGAUUUUGAAGUUUUCCCCUAAACAAAAAUGUUUGACGUUUUCAAUUAUUAAAUAUUUAUAAUUAGUAAUUAUAAAAUAUUUUGCAGAGUUCGUGAUAAGCUAAUAAAAUAUGUGACAAAUGGUUAACAAUUAAGCCUUCAAACUACAUUCCCCGGGUGGGUCUCUAACGUGAGUAGUAAAAGUUGGCGAGUAAAUGCAUCUAUAUAUGUUAAUGUGAAUUGAGCUCUUAUAUUUUUAGAAGUAACAAGUCAUCCGUGCCCGUAGAUUUUCAAUUUUUUGAUUAAGAGAUGUGCGGUUAGAAUAAUAAUGGUCAUCCGAGAUUGAGCGGGUGCUUGGUCGAUAUUACAACAGAAUUAGAUUAUAGAGACAUAUUUUUAAGACACUUUUGUGUAAGUAUUUUAUUUAUACCAAAAUUUAAAAAAAAAAUCUACUAAAGCAGUAAAGCCUAAAUAUAAAGCUCAAUCCAAUCAAAAAUAAAAAGUUACUCUACUCAACCAACCCCACUUAGCCCACUCGGCCCAAUUGCAAAUAAAAAAAAAAAAAAUUGAUUACCAUCUCCCCUUUUCCUCCUCUGCUGCCGCAGCUGACAAGGUAGGGUUCCGGCUGUUGCAGUUCGGCCGCGAGGAUCUUGCAGGGAUCGUAGAGGGCUAUAAUUGACUCGUGUCCCUCUGCCACGGGUCGUUAGAGGAGUAGAUGCCAAAUAUUAAGACGGCCCCAUAUAUAGCGAUCCCACAUAUAGCAAUACUUUUAAAAAGUGUCGAUAAUUAAGCCAGCGGUAUUUUUUUUGACUUAUACCGAUAUUUAAAAGUGUCGCUAUAAAGUAUUUUUAUUGUAGUGUGAAUAAUAUGAUCUAACGGAUGGAAUAUAUGGUCAAAAAGAUAGAACUAACGAUAAAAAAUUUACAAGCAUCAAAUACUUAGUACUUUCAAAAGUACCAUAGCCUCUAAAUUUAAGCUUACACUGGCUCUAGCUACAAACCAUGCUCAGAUUAAUUUGACAUGCAGUCACAAAUUCUUAAAUUAUCUUAGAACUAGUAAAAAAUAAAAAAGAAAAACUUUAAAUACUACACUUGUGAUUUCACAUUUUCUCAAUUUAAAACCCUGUAGUUUAAAGUGUAUCAAUUUAGUGCCCUGUGGUUUCAUUUUAUCUUUUUAUUAUUGAUUCCACUAAUUUUUUUCAUUAAAUCAGUGAUAAAAUUAAAAUUAAAGGGUACUAAAGUGAAUAUUUAAUAAACCUAGAUGGAUUAUCUUAAAUUUUUUAUAUAUAAUUUUAUAAAAUAUUAACGAAAAAACUGAUAAAAAGAUAAAAGUAAAAUAACAAGCCACUAAUUUAAUACAUUUUAAACUACCGAAUAUUAAAAUAAAAAAAAAUGAAACAACAUAAAUGAUAUUUAAAGUUUACCCAAAUAAAAACAAAACAAACGAUAGAAGUGCCAAAUACACGCAAUUCCACCAAAUCAUCAGCAAUGCUCCAGUAUCGUUGUCUAGUAACCUUUCCCGAGGUUGAGGGUUCACGCCUCCAUGUGCGCGCAUAAAUUUGGAGCUCUAAAUUUCAAAGUUGGGGUUUAACAUGUACACUUGUUUUUAGAGAAAUAUCUAAAAUAUGAAAUCCAUUAAAAAAAAAUUUAAAAAAAAAGAGAAAAGAAAAAAGAAAAAGCUGCAUGUAUUCUAUCGAAUUAAUUAGAUACAAAGCCUUUAAAAGGCAUAAGGGUAGGAUUACUAAUUAAAGUUCCCAUGUCAACAAAUUGUACAAUCUGUGUAGGAAUCAUUUUAAUAAUCAUCCUUUAAUACACACCAGGCCAAAAGGUUUAAAGUUGCUAAUGAAUCCCAAAACUCAUUUAAAAAUCAACUAGAAUUAAUGUACCUUAAUUACUUGGUAGUAAUGGUACUGUAUGAAAAGCACAAGGGCAUCUUCUUUCUCUCUCUCUCUCUCUCUCUCUUUUUUCUUUUUCUUUUUUUGUUCCCCUUUCGGCUGGGAUGGUGACAGGAGCAGGUAGAGAUAAAGCCUCAUCUGCAUGCAUGCUUCCCUAAAAUCUCUCUAAAAUUUUAUAAUCAUUGUAGCUGCAGCACAUAAUUUCAUGCUCAAAAGAAAAGUUUGCCACUUAAUUUGGUCCUUGAAGACUAGAUUAUAUAUGUCUUUGGCAUUUUAAUUGUAAGGCGAAUGCCACUUUGAUUCUCAAACUUAAUUUAUUGUAAUUUCUGACUUUAUAGAUUAUUAUAGUUAAAUUCUACAAUAUGACUAAAUAAUGAUGUAUUGCUGAUGUGAUGGUGAUAUAAUAAUAUUAUAGUUGAUGAGAUGAUAGUAAUUAAGAUGUCAUAUUACUGGCAUAUCAGUAACAUAUAUUGAUAUAUAUAAAUAUCCCCACCUUGUAAACUAAAUUAGACUAUAAAACUUAAUUACAAUAAUUUUAAAAAUAAAUUGAAUAAAAAAUUAUAAUAAAUUAAAGUUUGAGAACCUUACGGUCAAGAACCAAAACUGAAAUUUAGCUUGAAAGUUAAAAAAAAAAUAAUAACUUUUAUAUAUGUAAAUUUUAUGAUUAUUUUGUUCAAGCAUCUAGUUUUUAAGUUAUACUAGCUUUUUUCUUUUGAGUAAACUUCAAUUUGCAUGCUUUGUGAUUUAGCUUAUUUUUACUUUACCAUCUUAUGGCCCAAAAAGUUAUAUUUAAUUAUUCUGUGAUUUAAUCCUUAUUUUUACCCAAAAAAAUUAUUAUCAAAUAGGAUGUAAAAUAAAGCUUUUUGAUAACCACAAAAUAAUUAAGCAUAACUUUUUAAAUCACAAAAUAGUAAAAUAAAAUUGAGCUGGACUAUUGAAAGUUUAUUUUAAUAAUUUUGCUUUUAUGUUGUGGAAAUUGCUAAAAAGAAAGAAAAGAAUUUUGAUAAAGUUGAAAGCUACACUCAUAUUACAAAUUAAUUUUAUGAAACCCUCGUUUAACCUUUGGAUGAUGAUGUGUAAUUUAUAGCAACAUUUGGAAAAGUUGGACAUAUUUUCUCCAUGUUAUCUAUUAACUUAAAUGAAUUCUCAAUAUUUGUUGCCACAUGGCAAGUUUUUCUUCACCCUCACUAGUAUGUAUUCUUUUUCUUCCCCUCAAUAAACUUUCAAUGUAUAUUUUAACGGUUCCACUAAUAAAACUUUCAAUUAAUCCCAAUGUUUGUUGCCACAUGGUAAGUUUUCCUUCACCCUUACUAGCAUGCGACUCUUUUUCUUCCCCUCGCUAAACUUUCAAUGUACAUUUUAACGGUUCCACUAAUAAAACUUUCAAUUAAUGUAUUUAAAUGGUUCCACUAACAAAGCUUUGAAUUAAUAUAUUUAAAUAGUCCCACUAUCAUGUAUUAUUCCAUUUCUAUCCACAAUUAUUCAUUAUGACCAUUUCCAUUCCCUUCACUAUACUUUUAAUUAAUGCAAACGAUUCUACUACCAAACUUUCAAUUACUAUGCUUAAAUGAUCUCAUUAUCAUCUUACAAUCCUAACAUUUUUAUCUUCAAUUAUUCAUUAUGGAAAUUUUCCUUCCCUCCACCAGAUUUUUAAUUUUUUAUCUCCAAUAUAUUCAUCAAUUCUUUAUCUCUCAUUUUUUGCUAUACACUAUUGCCUCCUUCCCUCGCUUCCUCCCCGUCUCUCACUAAUGCGCGCCCACUUCUCCUUUCCGCCAUGACGUUUGGUGAAUAUAUCAAGUGAGAUACACAAGAGAAUGUUUAAUAUUUUCUUGUUAUUAAUUAUUAUUACAAUUUCUACCCGCUGCAAAGCGCAGGUCCCUUCACUAGUAAUAAAUGUUUAUGCAACAAAAAUCUUGGUGCAUUGGUGCUUGGCAAAUGGGUGAUGUGUAAUUACACAAAAGGAAUCUCACCUAUAAAUAAUUAAUUAAUUGAUUAUCAAUUAACCUGAGACUUUGUUCUUGAUAUAUAUUGGUGACUAUGUGGUAUUUCAUAAAAACCAGUGAAGUAACCCGCGCGAUGCGAUGGAUAGAUAAUAAAAAUAAAAAUAAAAAUUUAUAGAAAAAAUAAAAAUACGGGAAUAUAGAUAUCCUAUGAUUGUUGAGAAUGAGACAGCCGGCGAUGACAUCGUACGCCGUUCUUGUCAAGGACACAUGAGGAGUAACGGAUAGAGGCCAAAGUGCUCUGAGCGGUGAGCAAGAGGAAAAAGGAGGAAAAAAAAUGAAAAAUCUAAAAUCAUAGGUGGAGAAAUCCAAAAUCACUACACAGGUGAGGUGAGGGAAGAGGAAGAGAUGUCGUUAUCGGUUUGAAAGAUAAAAGAAAAUAAGAGAUGGAGAGAAAAGAGAGAGAGAGAAAGAGAGUUGAAAGAUAUGGUUACGAGGGAGAGGAAGAAUUUUACUAAGAUAAAAGAGAGAAAAAAAAAAAAUAGUGUGUCCCACUGCCCUCAAAUGAAGGUAGUACAUCCACGUUGGAUUUGAUCAUGAGAAAUCAUGUAUAGGUGUAGAGGUAUGGAUAAAGAUAUUAAUUAUUUAGUUUAGUCCAUUGAAG